AUCAUUUUAGUAUGUUGAAGCAUGAAAAAAUGAAUUUUCCUUCAACAACAUAUUUUUUGCUAAUUGAGAUUUGAGUGAGAAUUCUAUCAUCCCAUUAACACAAAAGUUAGCCACCCCAUAAUCCCAUCACAACUUUCUAUAAAACUAAAUGUUAAUAAUCAAAUGCAAUGGUAAACUAAAGUUGUUAUCCUCAAUACUCUUAUCUUAUUUUUGCCUAAUAUGCAGAGAACUUCCAAUUUCUUCAACUGGGCCUACAACUUGAUGUAUCUCUUAAUUUCCCCAAAGGCUACAUCAAAAAGAGUGAAUUGACAAAAACUUUUAGCAUUUUUCCUCCUUGAUCAACAAAAUGAUGUAGAAAUGCAAGAGCCAUUCAUGAUGAAAAGACAAUUUAAAAGGUGAACAGUAGUCAGUGUCAGCUUUCCAACCUUCAUGCUUAACAAGGACGCCAUUACUUGCUUAGCUCUUUCAUGCACUUUACAGUUAAUCCUUUUGAAUUUGUUGUGUUAGAAACGCAAAUUUAAACGCCACGACCACACUAAAACAUAGCCCAAAAUUGACCUGCACCCCAGAAAAUAAAAGCUAGUUAGCUGUCAAGAACAAAUAAAGAAAAAGAGAGAGAGAAUCAAAAGUUGGACCACAAUAUAUAG
Molecule: long non-coding RNA, 647 nt
Filed under: Phaseolus vulgaris (common bean)
Lineage: Eukaryota; Viridiplantae; Streptophyta; Magnoliopsida; Fabales; Fabaceae
Description: long non-coding RNA (PVUL_LNC003065)
Source: RNAcentral